GAAUAGCUCGGUUGGUAGAGCAUGAGACUCAAUCUCAGAAUUGUGGGUUUGAGCCCCACAGCCUAGGUCCA
Molecule: transfer RNA, 71 nt
Filed under: Podarcis lilfordi (Lilford's wall lizard)
Lineage: Eukaryota; Metazoa; Chordata; Lepidosauria; Squamata; Lacertidae
Description: tRNA.Sup
Rfam family: tRNA (bases 4-59)
About the family: Transfer RNA (tRNA) molecules are approximately 80 nucleotides in length.
Source: RNAcentral